Molecule: non-coding RNA, 46 nt
Organism: Stegodyphus mimosarum
Lineage: Eukaryota; Metazoa; Arthropoda; Arachnida; Araneae; Eresidae
Source: Rfam
UUAUAGGAUUUUUUAAAAUCUAUUAAUUGUGAAUUUCAGUUUGCGU